UAUCUCUGUAGAGUCUGCAUAUCAAUAAGCGGAGGAAAAGAAACUAACAAGGAUUCCCUUAGUAACGGCGAGUGAAGCGGGAAGAGCUCAAAUUUGAAAUCUUCAAGGUUCUACCUUGACGAAUUGUAGUUUAAAGAAGUGUUUUCUGUUAGAUGAGUAGCAAAAGUUCCUUGGAAUGGGACAUCAUAGAGGGUGAGAAUCCCGUAUUUGGUUAUUCAUUCUAGCUUUGUGAUACACUUUCAAAGAGUCGGAUUGUUUGGGAAUGCAGUCCAAAAUGGGUGGUAAAUUUCAUCUAAAGCUAAAUAUUGGCGAGAGACCGAUAGCGAACAAGUACCGUGAGGGAAAGAUGAAAAGAACUUUGAAAAGAGAGUUAAACAGUACGUGAAAUUGUCAAAAGGGAAGCGUUUGACACCAGUGUUGUUUUUCCGAAAAUCAAUUACGAAUGGCUUGAUUCUGUGUUGUAUUGACCUUAUCAGCUUUCUGCACUCUUUUUCGAGUCUUUCUUAAUGCACUUUUCGGUUAACAAGUCAACAUCAAUUUCUUUUGUUGUAAAAGAGUAUUCGGAAGGUGGCUUUCUUUUCGGAGAAAGUGUUUAUAGCCCUAUACUUCUACAAUCGGAGAGAUUGAGGUCUGCAGCGUAGAUCCCUCGGGGUUAGAUACACUUGUGCUAAGUUGUAGCUUUUCAUAGACAACUUGUUGACUAUGUUUAGUCAUGCGGCUUACUCGCUUGCGCUAUUUUACCUACGCUUAGGAUGUUGAAGAUGUAGCACAUCAU
Molecule: ribosomal RNA, 775 nt
Filed under: uncultured Neocallimastigales
Lineage: Eukaryota; Fungi; Neocallimastigomycota; Neocallimastigomycetes; Neocallimastigales
Description: partial large subunit ribosomal RNA
Rfam family: Eukaryotic large subunit ribosomal RNA
Source: RNAcentral